AGUAUCUGAAGGAGAGAUUUACAGCUUCAAUGUAACAGAUGGAGGAGUUUAUUACUGUGUGGCCACUAAUGAUCUGGGUAAUCAGACAUCAGCAGAGAUUAAUGUGACUGUUGGAGGAGACACACUGUGGCUACUUCCUGGAGUAAUCAUUGGGAUCAUUGUUCUCUUACUUAUAAUUCUCCUCUGCUUGAUCAUCUUUGUUUGGUCGUUAAAGUCAAAGCAACAAACUCAACAACAGAUUCUGAUUCAAAUAAAUGAAGAGCAGAAGGUUGAUGAACCAGCAAGUAAAAAGGAAGAAGAGGAAGAAAACAUCCAUUAUGGAGAGAUCAGCUUCUCCACACUGGCAUAUGAAGCAUCGUCUAACUCAGUGCGGGACAGUGGACAGCAGCAGCAUACAGUGUACGCACAGAUCAAAAAGCGAGAAAAAAGCUUAAAACAAAGGGCUCACGGCCAAGAGGAACUCUACGCUGAGGUGCAGAAAAAAUGAGAACUGUUGUGAAAUAAUUUUAAAUUAACAUAUAAAUACACACAAGGUGCCUGUAAAUGUGUCAUUUUCACUGCCUACAGUUCAGUGAAGUAAAACAACUAAAAUCCCAUUCCAUGGCUUUUUUAUGUCCUAUUUUCCAUGCUAACUUUACACGGCUGUUUUCAGAUGAUUAACUGUGUUCAUGGCAAAUGUGACUAAAUGAGUAAGUGAGAAAUUGCAGCACUCCAAAAAAAGAACUAGUUUUACACAACAACAGAUGCUGCUCUGCAAAACUAAAACUUAAAACCUCAACAUACUGUCGCUUUUUUUUAAAGUAUAUUUUAAGUUAUUAUGUUCCUAAAGUAUUUGCAUGCUGCUACGCUGUGUGAGCUGUUGUUUGAUUUUGUCAGUUGCAUUUCUGAAGUUCUGCUUCCAAAUUGUUUUUGUGGCACGCCCCCUGAACUAACAGGUCAAGAUGGCAGCACUGAAUCUAAACAGAAUUAAAACUGUAAACUUUGAAUCUGAACUACCAUUGUUCUGUAUUUUGUCUCACUAAAUAAGCCAUACGCAGAGCAUUGAUCAGGCUCUAUCCGUUAACGUGUUUUUUAGAAGUGUUAUGCUGCAUCACUCCAGAUACACAUCAGUCCAAGUUCCAACAUCUGAGUUCCCAGAUGUCUAAAAUGCAGCACUGGAACCACAAACCAGUAUUCCCAUUCAUGCUGGUGGGCAUUUUCUUUUGGCUUCUCCAGGGUAAGUUUAACACUGCCGAUCUGCAUCGGGUAAUCUAAAUGUUCUCCUGGAGAGUUGGAAAGGCAAAGAGGAAAUGGAAAUGCACGCAAUAGGAGUGUCUUUCUCUGGCCUUUCCAUGUAUAGUUAUCAGUUUUCACUGCCAGGGUAGUUACAGCAUAAUGCAAAAAUGUUCAGUGCAAAACCUUUUGUUCCCCACUACCUGAACAUGGCAUUCAAAUUAAAAUUCCACUAAGCUGCUGUGAAUUAAAGAGGCAUUUAGCAGCCUCACCCUCUUAGAGAGCAAAAUCAAAAACCUUUUUAAACUCUACAAUGAACUGGUUUUGGUAAUCAUUGGAUUUGUGCUCAGGCAAUGCUUGGGUCAGUUUCAGUGCAGAAGUGCAUUUCAGUGUUUGUGUAUACGGUAACUGUUCAGCUGGUCUGGCCAUCAGUGCUCAACUAACAACCUGUGACUCUGCUAGUACUUCACAACACUGAUGUGUAACAGCUGUGUGUACAGCUAAUGUUUGGGCAGAUCACUCUGUCAUAAUCCCAGUAAAUAUGAACCCAAAUGCACGACUCAGACACCAGAAACAAUUUAACAGUUUAUUUUUGGAAAACUAAGAACUUACAUAGUCUGGGCUUCUGAACUGUCGAGAAAACAGGAAACCAGAAACAGAAAAAUUCAAUGUGAAUCUAUGUGAAAAAUAGUUAAAGGUUAGACUAUUUUUAUCUGUUCGCCACCGGUCCAUUCAUCCAUUCCAAAAAGGGUUUUGUUUGGGGGUUUUUGCAUAUUGCAAUGUUUUGGUUUAAUCAAUAAAAAAUGACUAUCCAUUAUGUUCAAUUGUUGGUGAAGUCAUCUUAUUUAAGUAUUUAACAUAUUUUAUCAUAUGGUCCAGUGUUGUCUUUGUUACUAUAACAUAAAUAUAAUGUAAUUUACAUGGCAUGUACAGACUUUGGCUCUGACUGCUGAAAACGGGAAGUGCUCAGUAAUGUUAUCUUUAAUACUUUCUUAAAAAUGUAUUUUUAGCCAUUAAAACUGGAUAAGUGAAAAAAAAAUUAAAAUCCUUUCAGCGUUGGGUUACUAGAAAGGGGGAAAAACUCAAGAAAAGCAUUCAUUCUUUAUUAUUGUCUUAUCUGUUGUUUCAUUUCUUCUUUUGUUUUGUUUUAAUGUUGAGUUAAGUCAAUGUGACAAUGUGUUGUUUGUUUUGAAGAGUUAAAAAGCUCUUCAUAUCCAUAUUUGAUGUCACUUUUUGGAUUUCAGUGCCAUCUGCUUCAGCUCUUCAUUCAGUGUGUAAAGAGGAAGCAUGAAGACACAGAGCUUUCUACAUGAUGUUGACUGAUUUAGGUAGAUUUAUUUUCUAUCAGAGCCAAAUGAUAUAGGUUUGAGUGUUGGGAAAACGGCCAUUAAGCUGCACUCUGGGACUGCAGGAAAUUUUCCUUCUCAAAAACUGUACUUAUGCAUCCUAAUGAAUUACUAAACAGAUGUUGUAUAUUUUUGUAUAUUUUUUUGCAGCAAAUGUCUUUAAGAAAGCAAAGGAUUACACAAUAUCAGGCACCAUGUAACAUUUCAACAAAUACUGUGAUGUAAUGCAGUGCGACUGAAUUUGAGUGCUCUGAAUUUGAUUAGAGCGUUCAUGUAUGUUUAUGAAAGGCUGACUAAAUCACUCAGAGAUCAUAGUAUGGCUUAAAUGGGACCCCCCCAAAAAUGCUCAUUUAAAAAAUGAGCAUUACUUUCUUUUUUUCUUCACUUCUUUAGGCAGGAUGGUUUCAUGAGAGUUGUUCCCUGCCUGAAGGGUUUUGGUGAAAAGUCAUUAAACAGCCAGCAGAUGGAGCAGUGUGCUUUUCUGUGUGGUAGAUGUUGCAAAAAUACUUGUACAGCAGUUGAAGAGCGAUGAGAGCAAACAGGACUUUUCCAUCACAUGUUAUGCUGCUCCACAUGACUGACCUGUGUGGCAUGUUUGCCAAAGUGAAUGAUUCUCUAUGCUAUUCUAUGCUAUCCUCCUUUCAAAAAUAACAUAACUUAAUUUGAGCUGUAGCAUUCAGGUUAGCUCCUUAAAUAUUGUUAUUGGAUUUAUCGAGUUAAGUACUGCAUUUCAUUCAUCCCUCUCUUUGUAUGUGUGCGCAAUGAUGUAGUUGUGGUUGUGUGGGACGUUUCUGCACCUCUUUGUGUGACGCAUCAAGCUGAUUUGUAUUUGUGUUCAUUUUAAUUUUACAGUUAAUGAUACAGAAGUAAUGUUUAUGGAGAAGGCACACUACUCCUGUAGUGAAAAUAAAAUAGGAAACAGGAAAAAUUUUAGAAGAAUGAAAUUGUUAAAAUUAGGAAAAUGUACUUAAAGUAUUAAAAGAAAGAAUUACAAUAAUACUGCUGUCGUUGAUGAAACAAUGAGACUUUUCUCUGUUUAGAUAUUUUAAUGUUAAAGCAAACAGACCUGUGAUGCUUUUGGUUUUCUGUCUUUCUUUAUUCAGUCAGUCUGCUUUUUAUAUUCCCAUCAUGCACUCACCUUUCUCUAGAUUCACCUCACCUGUCCCUCCACUUACAUAGUAACCUGUUUAUUAUUGUAGGGUCUACCUUACAAUGUAAGGUGCCUUGAGGUGACCGUAGUUGUUAUUUUUCACUUUAUAAAUAAAAUUGAUUUUUUUCCACUUUCCUCAUUCUCUCAUUAGGUAUAUAGUAUUUUUAGCAGCUUAUGUCAUCAUUUCCUGUCUUCUGCAUUAUUGUUGUGCCUCAGCUUUCCAGUAUUUUGCUUUAUGAGUUAAUGUUGCCAUGCUCAUGAACUUCUUCUUUGUUUGUCUGUAUCAAAUUUUUGUUUUGUUAUA
Long non-coding RNA from Haplochromis burtoni (Burton's mouthbrooder), 4012 nucleotides. RefSeq lists it as uncharacterized. The record is from RefSeq and is a predicted model, not a curated record. NCBI's taxonomy places the organism in Eukaryota, Metazoa, Chordata, Actinopteri, Cichliformes, Cichlidae. The transcript has 4 exons.